CCUACGGGUGGCAGCAGUGGGGAAUAUUGCACAAUGGGGGGAACCCUGAUGCAGCGACGCCGCGUGAGUGAAGAAGUAUUUCGGUAUGUAAAGCUCUAUCAGCAGGGAAGAAAAUGACGGUACCUGACUAAGAAGCCCCGGCUAACUACGUGCCAGCAGCCGCGGUACUACGUAGGGGGCAAGCGUUAUCCGGAUUUACUGGGUGUAAAGGGAGCGCAGACGGCUGUGCAAGUCUGGAGUGAAAGGCGGGGGCCCAACCCCCGGACUGCUCUGGAAACUGUAAAGCUGGAGUGCAGGGGAGGUAAGCGGAAUUCCUAGUGUAGCGGUGAAAUGCGUAGAUAUUAGGAGGAACACCAGUGGCGAAGGCGGCUUACUGGACUGCAACUGACGUUGAGGCUCGAAAGCGUGGGGAGCAAACAGGAUUAGUUACCCGAGUAGUC
RNAcentral lists this ribosomal RNA (440 nucleotides) under uncultured bacterium. RNAcentral describes it as "partial 16S ribosomal RNA". It matches the Rfam family "Bacterial small subunit ribosomal RNA", at positions 338 to 795 of the family's 1533-position model. The record is from RNAcentral.